AAAUGUCAAGAUCAUCCACAGAGUUCUUAGGCUUUUUGGCUCGACGGGUUUCAAAGUGACAGAUGUGAGUUUCAAAUGUCUGCAAGAGCCAAGUGUUCAUAUGAUGAAGCUUCUCCAAACACUGAAAAUCCAGGACUAACUAAGCUAUUGGCAUGGCAACACUGCUCCUGGUAUAGGCCAACUAUGUCGAAACUGGAAUCUGCCAAGCUUGAACACCUCAUUUUCCUUUCAUUAGUGCAAAAGCUUUAUGCGGGACCUCUAGUGCGAACUGCAGUAGAAGUGCUGCAUCAGAAGGAAGAUUGCCACCUGUUCAGUUGUGACACUUCCUGCAGCAUCUCUGUGUCUCCUGAGUCCCCAUCCAUCCAGCCCAGCUCUUGCAUCGGGAGGACCAAGAGGAAAAGCAGCUGGAAGUGAUGUGUCAGCUGGCUAAUGGAACCCAUUUACACCUCAAGCAACCACAAGGGAAAACGAUGACAGGAAUCUGGCAAAAGUCAAAACAAAUGUAUGUUGUACUGAAACUUUAUGGUAGUGUGACCAAAGCUGUCAUCUCAAAUACUGUCCAUCCAUUGCUUUUUCCUUCUGUUUUCACCCACAACAGCCAAAACUGAUCUCAAGGACAAAACUGGCUCCAUUGUCUGUCCAAUGGAUCGAGAUUUUGGUUUUCACUGUCUGCAAGGAAACUGCUCAAAAAAACCUGCAGUUAUAUAUUUAAAAUAUUCUUGCUAUACCAUGCCGUGAGGAUCAACUUAUAUGAGAUUGAUUUGAAUAUGUGUGACAAAUGAAGAAUUUGUGGUUUUCAGACUUGCAGGGGAUAUAAUGCAAAGUUGAAGUCCUGCAAAGUAAUUCUGAUGAUAAUAAUUGAUCUCUUCAUACAUGACAUGACACAAAAAAAAGCCUUAGAAAACCUUUCCAAACUCAUUGGUCACUAGCUUUGAUUUGUUGAAAUCAGCUGCUUUCCAUCUGUCCUCAGUCAUUUUCCCACUCUUGUAAAUUGAUUUAGAUCGGUGCUUAUGAGAAAGACAAGUAGCAGUAGGGAGUAGGCACUAAUGCUGUAAACAGCCUCAUGCUUGCUUAACUUCUUGCACACCUGAAUACGCACUCAGUUCCCUGGAAGGUCUUUUAACAAGCAUCAUUCCAUGCCUGAGCCUGUCACAGAGGUGACAUCUUUAAUUACAAAGGGGGAGAAGACUAAAAUUAUUGUUUUCCUGGUCCCCAGUUCUUAUCAGGAUAUAUGAAGGCAGCCAGCACCAAUACACACUGCAGAUAAUAAACCUCAACACGUGCACUGGAGGUGAUAGCAGCAAAAAGAAAGAAUCAGAAAAUUAUUGUUGAGCUUUUUGUAGUAGUUAAGCAUAGCUUUAACUGUUGAUUAGUUUUUCUAUUCUCAUUUUGGAGUUUAACUUCUCGUCCCUCAACACAGAUAGAGGAACUGCAACUUUGGAGUAGUUCUACUGUUUUUUUAUUAUUGUGAUUAUGAUCCAGAGUUGAAGAAAGUUUAUUGUGUUGAAAUAUUGUCUCUGUGAUAUGUGAUUUAUACUGUGCAUAAAUUCAGCUCUAAUUUUUCUCCAGCUGUUUUUUUCCAGUAAAUAAAAUGAGAACCAGUUGAAGAGCAUGAACAACCA
Non-coding RNA from Taeniopygia guttata (zebra finch), 1622 nucleotides. NCBI's taxonomy places the organism in Eukaryota, Metazoa, Chordata, Aves, Passeriformes, Estrildidae. The record is from RefSeq and is a predicted model, not a curated record.